This 253-nucleotide ribosomal RNA is filed under the name uncultured bacterium. Its description in RNAcentral is "partial 16S ribosomal RNA". It matches the Rfam family "Bacterial small subunit ribosomal RNA", at positions 524 to 776 of the family's 1533-position model. The record is from RNAcentral.
UACGUAGGGUGCAAGCGUUAAUCGGAAUUACUGGGCGUAAAGCGUGCGCAGGCGGUUUUGUAAGACAGGCGUGAAAUCCCCGGGCUUAACCUGGGAAUUGCGCUUGUGACUGCAAGGCUAGAGUACGGUAGAGGGGGGUAGAAUUCCGCGUGUAGCAGUGAAAUGCGUAGAUAUGCGGAGGAACACCGAUGGCGAAGGCAGCCCCCUGGACCUGUACUGACGCUCAUGCACGAAAGCGUGGGGAGCAAACAGG